AGCGAACGUUAGCGGCGGGCCUAACACAUGCAAGUCGAACGAGAAUGAGGGAGCAAUCCCUCUAGUAAAGUGGCGGACGGGUGCGUAACACGUGGGUGAUCUACCUUCCGGCGGGGGACAACAGUCCGAAAGGAUUGCUAAUACCGCGUACGUCGGCGAAGCCUCCGGGUUUCGUCGGGAAAGACGGCCUCUCCUUGGAAGCUGUCACCGGAAGAUGAGCCCGCGGCCCAUCAGCUAGUUGGUGAGGUAACGGCUCACCAAGGCUAAGACGGGUAGCUGGUCUGAGAGGAUGAUCAGCCACACUGGGACUGCGACACGGCCCAGACUCCUACGGGAGGCAGCAGUGGGGAAUAUUGGGCAAUGGGCGAAAGCCUGACCCAGCCACGCCGCGUGAGUGA
This 398-nucleotide ribosomal RNA is filed under the name uncultured bacterium. Its description in RNAcentral is "bacterial SSU rRNA". It matches the Rfam family "Bacterial small subunit ribosomal RNA", at positions 29 to 408 of the family's 1533-position model. The record is from RNAcentral.